AACGAACGCUGGCGGCAUGCCUAACACAUGCAAGUCGAACGAUUGCCUUCGGGUGAUAGUGGCGCACGGGUGCGUAACGCGUGGGAAUCUGCCCUUAGGUUCGGAAUAACAGCUGGAAACGGCUGCUAAUACCGGAUGAUAUCGCGAGAUCAAAGAUUUAUCGCCUGAGGAUGAGCCCGCGUUGGAUUAGGUAGUUGGUGGGGUAAAGGCCUACCAAGCCGACGAUCCAUAGCUGGUCUGAGAGGAUGAUCAGCCACACUGGGACUGAGACACGGCCCAGGCUCCUACGGGAGGCAGCAGUGGAGAAUAUUGGACAAUGGGCGCAAGCCUGAUCCAGCAAUGCCGCGUGAGUGAUGAAGGCCAUAGGGUUGUAAAGCUCUUUUACCCGGGAAGAUAAUGACUGUACCGGGAGAAUAAGCCCCGGCUAACUCCGUG
Molecule: ribosomal RNA, 435 nt
Filed under: uncultured bacterium
Lineage: Bacteria
Description: partial 16S ribosomal RNA
Rfam family: Bacterial small subunit ribosomal RNA
Source: RNAcentral